This 1411-nucleotide ribosomal RNA is filed under the name Lactiplantibacillus plantarum. RNAcentral's name for it is "bacterial SSU rRNA". It matches the Rfam family "Bacterial small subunit ribosomal RNA", at positions 59 to 1436 of the family's 1533-position model. Lineage: Bacteria; Bacillati; Bacillota; Bacilli; Lactobacillales; Lactobacillaceae. The record is from RNAcentral. RNAcentral also lists the same sequence under 1 other name.
CAGUCGAACGAACUCUGGUAUUGAUUGGUGCUUGCAUCAUGAUUUACAUUUGAGUGAGUGGCGAACUGGUGAGUAACACGUGGGAAACCUGCCCAGAAGCGGGGGAUAACACCUGGAAACAGAUGCUAAUACCGCAUAACAACUUGGACCGCAUGGUCCGAGUUUGAAAGAUGGCUUCGGCUAUCACUUUUGGAUGGUCCCGCGGCGUAUUAGCUAGAUGGUGGGGUAACGGCUCACCAUGGCAAUGAUACGUAGCCGACCUGAGAGGGUAAUCGGCCACAUUGGGACUGAGACACGGCCCAAACUCCUACGGGAGGCAGCAGUAGGGAAUCUUCCACAAUGGACGAAAGUCUGAUGGAGCAACGCCGCGUGAGUGAAGAAGGGUUUCGGCUCGUAAAACUCUGUUGUUAAAGAAGAACAUAUCUGAGAGUAACUGUUCAGGUAUUGACGGUAUUUAACCAGAAAGCCACGGCUAACUACGUGCCAGCAGCCGCGGUAAUACGUAGGUGGCAAGCGUUGUCCGGAUUUAUUGGGCGUAAAGCGAGCGCAGGCGGUUUUUUAAGUCUGAUGUGAAAGCCUUCGGCUCAACCGAAGAAGUGCAUCGGAAACUGGGAAACUUGAGUGCAGAAGAGGACAGUGGAACUCCAUGUGUAGCGGUGAAAUGCGUAGAUAUAUGGAAGAACACCAGUGGCGAAGGCGGCUGUCUGGUCUGUAACUGACGCUGAGGCUCGAAAGUAUGGGUAGCAAACAGGAUUAGAUACCCUGGUAGUCCAUACCGUAAACGAUGAAUGCUAAGUGUUGGAGGGUUUCCGCCCUUCAGUGCUGCAGCUAACGCAUUAAGCAUUCCGCCUGGGGAGUACGGCCGCAAGGCUGAAACUCAAAGGAAUUGACGGGGGCCCGCACAAGCGGUGGAGCAUGUGGUUUAAUUCGAAGCUACGCGAAGAACCUUACCAGGUCUUGACAUACUAUGCAAAUCUAAGAGAUUAGACGUUCCCUUCGGGGACAUGGAUACAGGUGGUGCAUGGUUGUCGUCAGCUCGUGUCGUGAGAUGUUGGGUUAAGUCCCGCAACGAGCGCAACCCUUAUUAUCAGUUGCCAGCAUUAAGUUGGGCACUCUGGUGAGACUGCCGGUGACAAACCGGAGGAAGGUGGGGAUGACGUCAAAUCAUCAUGCCCCUUAUGACCUGGGCUACACACGUGCUACAAUGGAUGGUACAACGAGUUGCGAACUCGCGAGAGUAAGCUAAUCUCUUAAAGCCAUUCUCAGUUCGGAUUGUAGGCUGCAACUCGCCUACAUGAAGUCGGAAUCGCUAGUAAUCGCGGAUCAGCAUGCCGCGGUGAAUACGUUCCCGGGCCUUGUACACACCGCCCGUCACACCAUGAGAGUUUGUAACACCCAAAGUCGGUGGGGU